Molecule: ribosomal RNA, 254 nt
Filed under: uncultured bacterium
Lineage: Bacteria
Description: partial 16S ribosomal RNA
Rfam family: Bacterial small subunit ribosomal RNA
Source: RNAcentral
GACAGAGGUGCCAAGCGUUAGGCGGAAUCACUGGGCGUAAAGGGUGCGUAGGCGGGUCUUUUAAGUCAGGGGUGAAAUCCUGGAGCUCAACUCCAGAACUGCCUUUGAUACUGAAGAUCUUGAGUUCGGGAGAGGUGAGUGGAACUGCGAGUGUAGAGGUGAAAUUCGUAGAUAUUCGCAAGAACACCAGUGGCGAAGGCGGCUCACUGGCCCGAUACUGACGCUGAGGCACGAAAGCGUGGGGAGCAAACAGG